This 75-nucleotide transfer RNA is filed under the name Tieghemostelium lacteum. Its description in RNAcentral is "Dictyostelium lacteum tRNA". It matches the Rfam family "tRNA". Rfam says of the family: Transfer RNA (tRNA) molecules are approximately 80 nucleotides in length. Their secondary structure includes four short double-helical elements and three loops (D, anti-codon, and T loops). Further hydrogen bonds mediate the characteristic L-shaped molecular structure. tRNAs have two regions of fundamental functional importance: the anti-codon, which is responsible for specific mRNA codon recognition, and the 3' end, to which the tRNAs corresponding amino acid is attached (by aminoacyl-tRNA synthetases). tRNAs cope with the degeneracy of the genetic code in two manners: having more than one tRNA (with a specific anti-codon) for a particular amino acid; and 'wobble' base-pairing, i.e. permitting non-standard base-pairing at the 3rd anti-codon position. Lineage: Eukaryota; Evosea; Eumycetozoa; Dictyosteliales; Raperosteliaceae. The record is from Rfam by way of RNAcentral.
ACUCGAGUGGCUCCAAUAGGUAAGAGCGUUCAGCUGUUAACUGAAAGGUACAUGGAUCAAUACCAUGCUUGAGCG